GGGGAUAUAGCUCAGUGGUAGAAUAUAUGCUUAGCAUGCACAAGUCCUGGGAUCAAUUCCCAGUAUCUCCA
This 71-nucleotide transfer RNA is filed under the name Camelus ferus (Wild Bactrian camel). It matches the Rfam family "tRNA". Rfam says of the family: Transfer RNA (tRNA) molecules are approximately 80 nucleotides in length. The record is from Rfam by way of RNAcentral. Lineage: Eukaryota; Metazoa; Chordata; Mammalia; Artiodactyla; Camelidae.